RNAcentral lists this transfer RNA (84 nucleotides) under Candidatus Yanofskyibacteriota bacterium. Its description in RNAcentral is "Candidatus Yanofskybacteria bacterium tRNA-Tyr". It matches the Rfam family "tRNA". Rfam says of the family: Transfer RNA (tRNA) molecules are approximately 80 nucleotides in length. Their secondary structure includes four short double-helical elements and three loops (D, anti-codon, and T loops). Further hydrogen bonds mediate the characteristic L-shaped molecular structure. tRNAs have two regions of fundamental functional importance: the anti-codon, which is responsible for specific mRNA codon recognition, and the 3' end, to which the tRNAs corresponding amino acid is attached (by aminoacyl-tRNA synthetases). tRNAs cope with the degeneracy of the genetic code in two manners: having more than one tRNA (with a specific anti-codon) for a particular amino acid; and 'wobble' base-pairing, i.e. permitting non-standard base-pairing at the 3rd anti-codon position. The record is from RNAcentral. Lineage: Bacteria; Candidatus Yanofskyibacteriota.
GGGCGGUUGGUGGAGUAGUCAAACACACGACGCUGUAAACGUCGCGGCCGUUGGCCUUCGGGGGUGCAAAUCCCUCACCGCCCA